RNAcentral lists this ribosomal RNA (253 nucleotides) under uncultured bacterium. RNAcentral's name for it is "partial 16S ribosomal RNA". It matches the Rfam family "Bacterial small subunit ribosomal RNA", at positions 524 to 776 of the family's 1533-position model. The record is from RNAcentral.
UACGGGGGGGGCAAGCGUUGUUCGGAAUUACUGGGCGUAAAGGGCGCGUAGGCGGCCUGCUAAGUCGGAUGUGAAAUCCCUCGGCUCAACCGAGGAACUGCAUCCGAUACUGGCGGGCUUGAAUCCGGGAGAGGGAUGUGGAAUUCCAGGUGUAGCGGUGAAAUGCGUAGAUAUCUGGAGGAACACUGGUGGCGAAGGCGGCAUCCUGGACCGGUAUUGACGCUGAGGCGCGAAAGCUAGGGGAGCAAACGGG